UGGUGGAGUGAUUUGUCUGCUUAAUUGCGAUAACGAACGAGACCUUAACCUGCUAAAUAGCCCGUAUUGCCUUGGCAGUACGCUGGCUUCUUAGAGGGACUAUCCGCUCAAGCGGAUGGAAGUUUGAGGCAAUAACA
Molecule: ribosomal RNA, 137 nt
Filed under: uncultured eukaryote
Lineage: Eukaryota
Description: partial 18S ribosomal RNA
Rfam family: Eukaryotic small subunit ribosomal RNA
Source: RNAcentral